GUACAAUGAUGAAAACCCAUGCGUGUCAUCUGACUCUGUAAACCGCUGUUGUGUUGUUGCUCUGGUUGGCGUUUUGCUGGCUGGAGUCCUCCAAUACAGCAGGGAUUCAGAGACAUGAUCACACAUCACUACUCUGAGUAC
Molecule: small nucleolar RNA, 141 nt
Organism: Scophthalmus maximus (turbot)
Lineage: Eukaryota; Metazoa; Chordata; Actinopteri; Pleuronectiformes; Scophthalmidae
Gene: SNORD10
Product: small nucleolar RNA, C/D box 10
Source: Ensembl